RNAcentral lists this ribosomal RNA (473 nucleotides) under uncultured bacterium. Its description in RNAcentral is "partial 16S ribosomal RNA". It matches the Rfam family "Bacterial small subunit ribosomal RNA", at positions 29 to 507 of the family's 1533-position model. The record is from RNAcentral.
AACGAACGUUGGCGGCGUGGAUUAGGCAUGCAAGUCGUACGAGUUUCCUCUGGGUAACUGGAUGAAAAAAGUGGCGAAAGGGGCAGUAAGGCAUGGAUAAUCUACCCUGAUGACCGGGAUAGCUGUCCCAACGGGCAGGUCAUACCGGAUGAGCUGGUGGGGCCGCAUGGUUCUGACAGGAAAGGCGCAAGCCGUGUCGGGAGGAAUCCAGUUGGUAUUAGCAAGUUGGUGAGGAAAAGGCUCACCAAGGCGAAGAUGUCUAGCGGGUGUAAGAGCACGAACCGCGCCACUGGAACCGAGACGCUGGCCAGACUCGGACGGGAGGCGGCAGUCGAGGAGGUUCGGCAAUGGGCGAAAGCGUGACCGAGCGAGGCCGCGUGAGCGAAGAAGGCCAUUAGGUUGUAAAGAUCUGUCGAGGAGUAACAAGCCGCAAGGUUGAGUGAUCCCUGCAGGAAGCACGGGCUAAGUUCGUG